Nothobranchius furzeri (turquoise killifish) is the source of this 671-nucleotide non-coding RNA. NCBI's taxonomy places the organism in Eukaryota, Metazoa, Chordata, Actinopteri, Cyprinodontiformes, Nothobranchiidae. The record is from the annotation of a RefSeq genome assembly.
AUGCUCUAUGGAAAUCUGCUGACUCACUCCAGCAGGAUCAUGGCUCAGUCUGAGGACGAGCCGUGUCUCUCAGAGGUUUUUGUACGACGACUCAACCAGUUUGUAUCACUGUGGUGGACGUUUGGUGGAGGAACCAGACUGGAGGUUGGAACUGAUAAACUGACAGGUUUCUAUAAAGGAAGUGAAACAAGGUGUGAGAGUCAGACUGGUGAUACCCGUCCCAUCCUGACGGUGCUGCCUCCCUCCAGUGAGGAGCUACAGCAGGGGAAGGCCACGCUCAUGUGUCUGGCCAACAAGGGCUUCCCCUCAGACUGGAGUCUGUCCUGGAAGGUGGACGGCAGCAGCAGCAGCUGGGAGGAGGACAGGAGCCCCGUGGUGAUGAAGGACGGCCUCUACAGCUGGAGCAGCACCCUGAGGCUCACUGCAGACCAGUGGAGGAAGGUGGGCUCUGUGACCUGUGAGGCCACCCAGGGCUUCCAGUCUCCAGUCUCAGAGUCACUCAGGAGAGACCAGUGUUCCCAGUGAAAGCAGGCUCACUGGACCUGUUCUCAUCACUGGGUUUUUUCUUGCGAAUGUUGUCAUUUUCUGUAUUUUUGAUUUAUAUUUCCUAGUUUAAACAGUUUCUUAUUUCAACAUCUGCACACAAUAAAACAGAUUAAAUAAAUUAAAGU